RNAcentral lists this long non-coding RNA (2623 nucleotides) under Panax ginseng (ginseng). Its description in RNAcentral is "long non-coding RNA (PGIN_LNC005027)". The record is from RNAcentral. Lineage: Eukaryota; Viridiplantae; Streptophyta; Magnoliopsida; Apiales; Araliaceae.
UGCUUUCAAUUCAAAUUCAAGAGUUUCAAAUCGAGUUGUCAGAUAUAGAAUGAAAAUCAAGGAUUGAUUUCAUGGAAAAUAACUUACAAAAAUCUUUCCAGUUUCAUUGACAAUUCUUCCUACACCGGAAGCAUAGUUGACACCCUGCAGAAUUACAGGUCCCCUGGUGGUUGGAGCCAAAUAUGGAGGAGCAAAAUCUUUAAAAUCGGUUUGUUGUCCCGGUAUAACAAAAAAUUAUAAACAAACAUAAAGAUUUUUUUGUUGUUGCUAAACAAACGUAUAACAGAUUUUGUCAAAGUUUGUCACAUAACAGAUUUAGUUUUUCGUAUUAAUAUGCAUCUUUAGCUAGUAAUUAAUAUGCAUCUUUAGCUAGUAAUGAUGAGAGUUCAACAUCAACUGAGAAAGAAGUGAGUGUCUUGGAGGAGCUUCUUGAAUCAGAACCAAAAAAAAGAAACCAAACAAAGAUCGAGUAUUUUAAAUGCAGUUUUAAUUUUAAUUAUGUUUUUUUCCCGAGUAUCCUUUUUUUCCCUGUGUUUUUUUUAUAAAUUUAUUUGUUUUUAUCUUCUUUUAAUUCUUUCUGUAUUUGAAGAGAAACGUGUAUCAAUUUGAUAAUAAUUAAAUAAAAAAAUUAUUUCUUUUUGACACAUCAGAACUAAAAUGUCACAUGUAUGUGUCACAUCAUCAAUUUGUGACAUGGCGGUUUCCAAUUGAAUCAAAAUGGAAAAAAUUGAAAGCUUAAUAACUUAAUUGAAAAAAUUAAAAAGUGGAAUAUCGAAGUGGAAAAAGUGUAAUAGUUUAGGAUAAUAAUUCAUAUUUAAGCCUAAACUCAACUACUCAAGUAUUGUUCUACCAUUUGCAUAUGGAAGAACAAAAUCUUACCUAAAAUAUCAGAUAUUGUUCUGCCAUUUGUGUAUCGUCAUGUUGGCUUCCCAAAAUCAAUACCAUUAGGAGGGUAAGGAUAGAGACACAAUGUAGUUAUUGUUUCUAGCUUCAACCAAAGAGUCCAAAAAUAAAAUUAGCAAAAAAAAAUUCUGCUGAACAAAUGCCCAACCAAACAAAGACUGUCAAAACUACACAACACCAACAAUAACUCUUUUUGAUGAUAGAUUAGCCAUUACAAUCAAUGUGUAAGAGAAAAAACAGUUAUGGGUAUGCUCUACCAAUACAAAAUCUGCAUGAAAAAACUAAGUAAAGAAUACUUUCCCCUUCCUCACAAUUGAAGGAUGAGGAAGAGGAGGAAGAGGAGGAAUCUCUACAAUUUAACAGAGUGCAACAAAUGUUCUUCAAAGGAUUUAAUAUUUUUUAAUUUUAAUAUUGUUCAAUGAAAAUCAAAGUUUUAGAUACCAAGUUAAUAAUAUUUUCAGACAUUGAUGAAAUGACCUACUACUUCACAAAAACUAAUUCCUUAUUUGUGAUUCAGUCAGAACAUACAUCAAACAAAUGGGAUGCAAAGACCAAAAACAAAAAAAAAAGAAAAAAUGACCAAUAACAAAUACUUGACGAAGUUAUUGGCCUCUCAGUGUCAUGGGUAUUUUAGAUUUGAUAAAAUGCAGAUGCAUAACAAAUAGUAAUAAGCAAAUUCAAAUACCUGAAGAUGGAAGAUUUCGUUCGAAAAGUGUGGAAUUAUUCACUUCCGAUCACUAGCUAAUCCUGUAUAUAGACAAUAUGUAUUUUCGUUUAGUAGAGUUUCUAUUUGACGGUAAAGAAAAACCCCAAAACAACCAGCCCCAGAGCGAAAUUCAUUCAAUAACCCUUAUACCUAUCUCAACUCACACCCAAAUUUCCUAAAAUGCCAAUUCAUUCAAUAACCCUUCUAUAAAAUUUGUCAAAUAGGAAUCAGAAAUAUAUACUUACAGAAGUGUGGAUGCCAAUAAAUGCAAAGAAUCCAAGUAUUGGAGCACAAAAAUGUUAUCUGAAUCCAACACUCCAAAAAAUAGGCUUUUGAUUUAGAGUAUUUUCAACAGCUCAAAAUACUGAUUAAAUAACAUCACUAAAAAACACACAAAGCCCCAGUUCCAAUUUAUCUAAAUUCAUUUUAAAAUUAAACCCAAUUAGCUUCUUCAACAAUUUUCACAAAGCCCAAUUACAAAAUCAUUAGAUGUUAACUACAGAUACUUAAAUUGCAAGAACUGAAUCUCGUUAUCAAUAAUCUAACAUAAAAACCUAAUAUUUUUCGAGAUAGAUUACACAAUUUAGAAACACUACAGCAAAAUAAAUUUGAUAAAAUUAGCUAAAUAAUGAAUAUAGAGUUUGUAUAUAUAUGAGAUGAAUGAGAUUUGAGUACCGUUUGGGAAUUGAGAAUGAGGACCUUUUGAAUUUGUAACGUUUGAGUUUGAAAGAUUACUAUGAGCAAUCAAAAUAUAUGCUAAGAUCGGUAGGAUGGCAGUGAGGCGUUGAUGAUGAUAUGUUGAUUUGGGACUUAUAUGUUUGUGAUAAUGGGGUUUGAAGAGAUCUGAUACUUGAAACAAAGGAUGGAAAGAAUUGGAAAACCCGGAAAAGGAAUCGACAAAAAUUGGAAGAAGAGGAAGAAGAAGAAGAUGGGAAAUCUGAAAAGAGAUGAAGAGAAACGGAAGAGUAACCGAUCAAUUGUAUAUGGGCUUUGGAAUUCAGAAUAAGGAGGGGU